UCUGUGAUGCCYUUAGAUGUUCUGGGCCGCACGCGCGCUACACUGAUAAAGUCAGCGAGUCGUUAUUCUCUGAAUAGUCCUUGGCCGGAAGGCCUGGGCAAUCUUGUUAAACUUUAUCGUGCUGGGGAUAGAGCAUUGCAAUUAUUGCUCUUCAACGAGGAAUUCCUAGUAGUCGCAAUCAUCAGAU
This 187-nucleotide ribosomal RNA is filed under the name uncultured fungus. Its description in RNAcentral is "partial 18S rRNA". It matches the Rfam family "Eukaryotic small subunit ribosomal RNA", at positions 1480 to 1656 of the family's 1831-position model. The record is from RNAcentral. Lineage: Eukaryota; Fungi.